This 159-nucleotide small RNA is filed under the name Paenibacillus rubeinfantis. RNAcentral's name for it is "Paenibacillus rubinfantis ydaO/yuaA leader". It matches the Rfam family "c-di-AMP riboswitch aptamer (ydaO/yuaA leader)", at positions 11 to 130 of the family's 134-position model. Rfam says of the family: This family represents a conserved RNA structure found upstream of the ydaO and yuaA genes in Bacillus subtilis and related genes in other bacteria. The ydaO/yuaA element is thought to act as a genetic "off" switch for the ydaO and yuaA genes in its native state. Lineage: Bacteria; Bacillati; Bacillota; Bacilli; Caryophanales; Paenibacillaceae. The record is from RNAcentral.
AUCGCUGAAUUCUGCAUGCAGAAACGGGGGAACCAACUGAGACGGGCUUAGUGCCGGUUUCCGGGGUGAAUCGCUUGCUUGGCCGUUUUGGCCAAACGGGCGUAGGGCUGCUUUCGUGCCCGAAUCCGUCAGCUAACUCCGUAAGCGUCCGAAAGAGGG